GACGAACGCUGGCGGCGUGCCUAACACAUGCAAGUCGAACGGAGUUAAGACUUCGGUUUUAACUUAGUGGCGAACGGGUGAGUAACGCGUGAGGAACCUACCUUUCAGUGGGGGACAACAGUUGGAAACGACUGCUAAUACCGCAUAACAUAUACGGAUCGCAUGGUCUAUACAUCAAAGCUUUAUGUGCUGAAAGAUGGCCUCGCGUCUGAUUAGCUAGAUGGCGGGGUAGCGGCCCACCAUGGCGACGAUCAGUAGCCGGUCUGAGAGGAUGAACGGCCACAUUGGGACUGAGAUACGGCCCAG
RNAcentral lists this ribosomal RNA (306 nucleotides) under uncultured bacterium. Its description in RNAcentral is "bacterial SSU rRNA". It matches the Rfam family "Bacterial small subunit ribosomal RNA", at positions 28 to 334 of the family's 1533-position model. The record is from RNAcentral.